CAGAUCAAGAGCAUCUCAUCCUCCGGCUGCUGAGUCAUCCUGCUCUGGCAGUUAUUUAAACAGAAGGCUCCAGGAGACAUACAAUCAACACUCCACUCAGACAAUGCCCAGACCUCCAGAAACCAUGUGUCAAGCUCGGAUUGCCUUAGACAGGUGCAAUUUAAGAACAGCUUUCAUCCUCUUUUCUCUCAUAUUGUCACACUAUGUGUUCUGACUUCUGGCUCCUUUCCUCACAAGAAGCUCACCCAGCUGGAACUCUUAUGGGACCUUGGCACCAGAGACCACAAAUUCCUCUUUGAAGUUUUCUAACAGCAACAAUGGUAUUUCUGACUUGGCUUUCUUGUAUUUCUCUCACGUUAACAAAAUUGGUUCAGCAUCUACCAUGGGCUACAUGCUGAGCUACAGAGUUUCGCUCUGUCGCCCAGGCUGGAGUGCAGUGGCGCGCGAUCUCGGUUCACUGCAAGCUCCACCUCCCGGGUUCACGCCAUUCUCCUGCCUCAGCCUCCUGAGUAGCUGGGACUACAGGCGCCCGCCACCACACCCAGGAAUCCAACUUGCUGUUUGCUAUCACAUGUGCUAUACAUGCUGUUGAUGAAACUGCUAAAGGGGCUGAAUGUGACUGACGUCUUUGGAAGGAUGAGACUUAGCGUGCCUGUACAGUUGUGUCCAAAUGCUGUCCUCAUCUCCCAAUGAAAAGGAACAAAACCCAUCAGAAGAUGUCAGAAGAUAAGGAUUUUUGUCCUGAUGCUACACUUACCAGCUGUCCCUCAGUGUUCUACUUCUUAAAAAAAGAGAGGUUGGUCCUGAUCCCUGGUUCUUAACCAGGGGAAAAUGAAGUGGGGCCAGGGCAUGUGCAGACUUAAAAAUUACACAGGGGAAUGUAGGCACGAUCUGUUUAAGAAAUACUGGACUAAAUGGUCUCUAAUCUGUGAUUGUAGAUUAAAGAAUAAUCUACAAUCUACACCGUGUUGGCCAGGCACGGUGGCUCACACCUGUAAUUCCAGCACUUUGGGAGGCUGAGGUGUGUGGAUCACAUGAGGUCAGGAGUUCGAGACCAGCCUCACCAAUGUGGCAAAACCCCCUCUCUACUAAAAAUACGGAAAAUUAGCUGGGUGUGGUGGUGCAUGUCUGUAGUCCCAGCUACUCGGGAGGCUAAGGCAUGAGAAUUGCUUGAACCUGGGAGGUGGAGGUUGCAGUGAGCCAAAAUCACGCCACUGCACUCCAGCCUGGGUGACAGAGUGAGACUCUGUCUCAAAAAAAAAGAAAAAAUAAAUAAUCAAAUGUAAAGUUAGCACAUAAAGGAGGCAUGUACAUAUUAUUAAAAUCUAUAUGACUACCUCUCCUUUUUCAUUUUUGGCUCAAUAUCUGUAUCUGAACACCUAAUUAAUGAAAGGAAAACAUUUGUAAUAUGUAGCAACUAAAAUGUCACCUUCUCUGUGGGGAUCACAAAGUCCUUGGCAAUCACUUCCAUACCAGACAAGUGAGUAUUGUCCUUCUCCUUUUCCAGAUGGAUAAACAGAGGCAACCCGAGGAUAAAGGCCUUGCUCAGUGUCACACAUUUCAGUCACUAAAUAAGACACAAUGGAUGCCAGUAUUCUCAUCCCCUCACAAAUAAAGAGCCUUCAAGCUCUUGCAGUCAACAAGAACUUUUGGAAUGAUUUCACUGCCUGAAAAGGCAGAUACAUAGGUGACACCCACAAAUAGGAAGAAAAUCAACCUGAACCUGAGUGUGUGGGCUCACUGACUCUAAGCAGUAGAGACAGAAGAAAAAGUUUUAGCAAAGAAGGGUUCUGAAAGAAAAUAAAUAUAGCUCGUUAUCAAGUGCUGUUUUUACACAGUAAAACAUGGGCAAAAUUACUCUUCUUUAAGUAGUAAUUCUUAUCUCUUGAUUAAGUCACCUACUCAUUCAUUUAAUAAAUACAUACUGAUUGUUUUCUAUGUGUUGAGCACUCAUCUCUGUAUUGGAAAUAUAAUAAUGACCAAAGUUGACAAUAGUAAUAACAAUAAUAGCUAAUAUAGCAGGCACUAAUAAUUAUUUGUUGAGUAAUAUGUCAAAAUUCAGUGUGAACAGCAUUCUAUUUGGGGCUGCAUCCACUGACUAUAACACAGCUAAUCUAUCUGAAAUGUUCCAGCUUUGGGCCUCUCUAACAGAAGAAGCUGUUGUUGGGCCUGCCUCUAGUUGGCGAUGCAUCCACCAAUGAGAAUGAAUUUAUGAUCGACCACUCUUCCUGUAAAGGCCGCUGGAACUGACAGCAUUGUGAUUUUCUUUUACUGUUAGUUUUAAAUUACUAGAACCAACUCAAUUACUAGAACGAACUUUACUUCUUUGUUUCCUACUUAUCAAAACAGUAAAAACAACAAGUAAAAGAAAUGCCAUCUUAAUAUUGUUUUGAUGACAAAACAGUAUUCCUUUUAGUUGUGCUUCAAAUGGAAUAAGAUGCAAACAGGCUUGGUAUGGUGGCUCACCCCUGUAAUCCCAGCCCUUUGGGAGGCCAAGGUGGAAGGAUUGCUUGAGGCCAUGAGUUUGAGACCAGCCUGCGCAACAUAGCAAGACCGUGUCUCUACAAAAAAUAAAAAAUUAGCUGAGUGUAGUGGUGUGUGCUUGUGGUCCCAGCUACUUUUGAGGCUGAGGAGGGAGAAUCUCUUGAGCCCAGAAGGUCGAAGUUGCAGUGAGCCGUGAUCGUGCCAUUGCUCUCCAGCUUGGACAACAAAGCAAGACCCUAUGUCAAAAAAUAAAUAAAUAAAAGACAUAAACAUAUCUGAGAUUAACUUUCAGUGGUAAAUUUGUUCCAUAUAUGAUUUUUAAGGUUAAAUGCUUUGGAAGCUUUAAAAACCAUUUCAGCCCUUUUAAAUGCCAACUUACACUGAUGAUGCUCUCAGAUGUUAGGAAAUCUUUUGAGCAGAAAAUGGAAGUGGGGGUGUUGAGGCAGGGAGGAGAGUGAUGCAAUAUUCCUUAGUGUCAUCCUGUGAUUUCACAAUUUGUUUUUCAAUCUGUUUGGACUUUCAAAAGGGAAGACUCUCAUAUGUCAACAAGCCCAUGAACUGAAGCUUAAAACACUGGAAACAACAACUGUAGAGUUUCAAGUAUAUGUACAUUUAUGUAUUCAUGUUCCUUGAUGGGAAUGCUGGCUGGUGUGAAUGUUCAAUCUCCUGAGAAAUGUAAAUUUUUCUCUGACAGAUUUAUUAGCUUGCUGUAUCUGAGCACAUGAGCAAAAACAAUGCCUAAUAAGAAAACUUUCUCUCUCCUUCAAAGUCAAACUUGGGAGAAAUGAAGGGAAAUCGAGUUUUCUUUGCUUGACAGUGUUCAACAUUCUUGUAGUCAGUGUGCUCAUGAAGAUUGCAAACUUUUUUUUUUUUUUAGAGCAGCUAGGACUACAGGCGCGCACCACCACACCCAGCUAAUUUGUGUAUUUUUAGUAGAGAUGGGGUUUUAACUAUGUUGGCCAAGCUUGUCUCAAACUCCUGACCUCAAGUGAUCCAUUCGACAGCUCUUUCUUUUUUUUUUUUUUUUUUGAGACAAAGUCUCGCUCUGUCACCCAGGCUGGAGUGCAGUGGUAUGAUCUCAGCUCACUGCAACCUCCGCCUCCUGGGUUCAAGCAAUUCUCAUGCCUUAGCCUCCCGAAU
Molecule: long non-coding RNA, 3624 nt
Filed under: Homo sapiens (human)
Lineage: Eukaryota; Metazoa; Chordata; Mammalia; Primates; Hominidae
Description: HSALNT0091297
Source: RNAcentral